Molecule: ribosomal RNA, 257 nt
Filed under: bacterium
Lineage: Bacteria
Description: partial 16S ribosomal RNA
Rfam family: Bacterial small subunit ribosomal RNA
Source: RNAcentral
UUUCAAGAGAAUUUGAUCCUGGUUCAGGAUGAACGCUGGCGGCGUGGAUAAGGCAUGCAAGUCGAGCGAAUGCGGUCCGCAAGGGCUGCGUUAGCGGCGAACGAGUUAGUAACACGUAGGAACUUUCCCUCUUCACAGAAAUAACUCUUCGAAAGAAGAGCUAAUGUCUGAUAGUCCCUGAGAGCAAUCGAAGGGUAAAGGUGUACGCAAGUAUGCCGGAAGAGGAGAGGCCUGCGGGCUAUCAGCUAGUUGGUAGG